UAACAAAGGGAAGCUAAGCCGCGAGGUGGAGCAAAACCCAAAAAAGACAGUCUCAGUUCGGAUUGAAGGCUGAAAUUCGCCUUCAUGAAGCCGGAAUUGCUAGUAAUGGCAGGUCAGCAUACUGCCGUGAAUACGUUCCCGGGCCUUGUACACACCGCCCGUCACACCAUGAGAGUUGGCAAUACCCAACGUACGUGAUCUAACCCGCAAGGGAGGAAGCGUCCUAAGGUAGGGUCAGCGAUUGGGGUGAAGUCGUAACAAGGUAGC
Molecule: ribosomal RNA, 267 nt
Filed under: uncultured bacterium
Lineage: Bacteria
Description: partial 16S ribosomal RNA
Rfam family: Bacterial small subunit ribosomal RNA
Source: RNAcentral